AUACGUAGGGGGCAAGCGUUAUCCGGAAUCAUUGGGCGUAAAGAGUGCGUAGGUGGUUUCUUAAGCGUGGGGUUUAAGGCUACGGCUUAACCGUAGUUCGCCCAAUGAACUGGGAGACUUGAGUGCAGGAGGGGAAAGUGGAAUUCCUAGUGUAGCGGUGAAAUGCGUAGAUAUUAGGAGGCACACCAGUGGCGAAGUCGCUUUCCUGGACUGUAACUGUCACUGACGCACUAAGGCGACGCAAGCAAACAGGAUUAUAUCCCCUUGUACACCACGACGUAAACGAUUAGCACUAGGUGUCAGGGAAACAAUCCCCGGUGCCUCAGUUAACGCAUUAACUACUCCGCCUGGGGCGUCCGCUCGCAAGAAUAAAACUCAAAUGAAUUGACGGGC
Molecule: ribosomal RNA, 393 nt
Filed under: uncultured bacterium
Lineage: Bacteria
Description: partial 16S ribosomal RNA
Rfam family: Bacterial small subunit ribosomal RNA
Source: RNAcentral